CCAUGCAGGUGUGACGUGCAGGCGCCAAAUCGUCUGUAGACGACUUAGGUACUGGUCUGGGUGUUGUAAGUAGAAGAGCAGCCACCAUACUGCGAUCUAUUGAGACUCGUCCUCUGACUGGAAGAUUUGUUGGCGCCGCCAACGAAUCGUUUUAUAUUUUUUAAAAUUCGGAAUGCUUCGGUUCUCCUGGGACUUCUAUUUUUUUAUAAAAGUUUCAAUGAUCCAGGGUUUCCCUGGGACUUUGAAAUGAUUCCCCGACUCAUUUGGACGUAACGGGACCAUGGUCGUAACGGGUGACGGGGAAUCAGGGUUCGAUUCCGGAGAGGGAGCCUGAGAAACGGCUACCCCAUCCAAGGAAGGCAGCAGG
Molecule: ribosomal RNA, 367 nt
Filed under: Stegodyphus mimosarum
Lineage: Eukaryota; Metazoa; Arthropoda; Arachnida; Araneae; Eresidae
Description: eukaryotic small subunit ribosomal RNA
Rfam family: Eukaryotic small subunit ribosomal RNA
Source: RNAcentral